This 89-nucleotide ribosomal RNA is filed under the name uncultured bacterium. RNAcentral describes it as "partial 16S ribosomal RNA". The record is from RNAcentral.
AUGAAACGGCCGUUAGGGUUGUAAAGCCCUUUCGGCGGGGAAGAUAAUGAACGGUACCCGCAGAACGAAGCCCCGGCUAACUUACGUGC